UGUAUUUAGCUGUAUCCUGGGCGUGCGUGACUCCAUCUUGGCUUCUUGUUAAUCAAUCAUUGCUACAAGCUCUGUCCUUUGCACCUGUCAGUCAGAACUGAGAGAGUAUAAGAGGAGGAGUUUCACGCCCCCCGCUGGGUCUGUUCCUGCCAGAGAGCAGUAUGGGUCCCGGCAGGUGCACAUCAUUGCGGCAGCAUUUCCACAUAACAAAGGGAAUGCCGCAGAAUACUCACCGUGUCCC
Molecule: non-coding RNA, 241 nt
Organism: Pelobates cultripes (western spadefoot toad)
Lineage: Eukaryota; Metazoa; Chordata; Amphibia; Anura; Pelobatidae
Source: the annotation of a GenBank genome assembly